UACGUAGGGUGCAAGCGUUAUCCGGAAUUAUUGGGCGUAAAGAGCUCGUAGGCGGUUUGUCGCGUCUGCUGUGAAAACUGGAGGCUCAACCUCCAGCCUGCAGUGGGUACGGGCAGACUAGAGUGCGGUAGGGGAGAUUGGAAUUCCUGGUGUAGCGGUGAAAUGCGCAGAUAUCAGGAAGAACACCUAUGGCGAAGGCAGCUCUCUGGGACGGUACUGACGCUGAGACGCGAAAGCGUGGGGAGCGAACAGG
RNAcentral lists this ribosomal RNA (253 nucleotides) under uncultured bacterium. RNAcentral's name for it is "partial 16S ribosomal RNA". It matches the Rfam family "Bacterial small subunit ribosomal RNA", at positions 524 to 776 of the family's 1533-position model. The record is from RNAcentral.